This 492-nucleotide ribosomal RNA is filed under the name uncultured bacterium. Its description in RNAcentral is "partial 16S ribosomal RNA". It matches the Rfam family "Bacterial small subunit ribosomal RNA", at positions 29 to 507 of the family's 1533-position model. The record is from RNAcentral.
AGUGAACGCUGGCGGUAGGCCUAACACAUGCAAGUCGAACGGCAGCACAGUAAGAGCUUGCUCUUACGGGUGGCGAGUGGCGGACGGGUGAGGAAUACAUCGGAAUCUACUUUUUCGUGGGGGAUAACGUAGGGAAACUUACGCUAAUACCGCAUACGACCUACGGGUGAAAGCAGGGGAUCUUCGGACCUUGCGCGAUUGAAUGAGCCGAUGUCGGAUUAGCUAGUUGGCGGGGUAAAGGCCCACCAAGGCGACGAUCCGUAGCUGGUCUGAGAGGAUGAUCAGCCACACUGGAACUGAGACACGGUCCAGACUACUACGGGAGGCAGCAGUGGGGAAUAUUGGACAAUGGGCGCAAGCCUGAUCCAGCCAUACCGCGUGGGUGAAGAAGGCCUUCGGGUUGUAAAGACCUUUUGUUGGGAAAGAGAAGCAGCAGGUUAAUACCCCGCUGUUCUGACGGUACCCAAAGAAUAAGCACCGGCUAACUUCGUG